This 73-nucleotide transfer RNA is filed under the name Sphaerodactylus townsendi. Its description in RNAcentral is "tRNA-Ser". The record is from RNAcentral. Lineage: Eukaryota; Metazoa; Chordata; Lepidosauria; Squamata; Sphaerodactylidae.
GGGGGCCGUGGUUCAGUGGAAGAGCACCGUCUUUGCAUUCAGAAGGUCCCAGCUUCGAUCCCUGGCAUCUUCG